GAGUUUGAUCCUGGCUCAGAACGAACAUUGGCGGAAAGCUUAACACAUGCAAGUCGAGCGAGGCUACGAGCCUAGCGGCGAACGGGUGCGUAAUACAUAGGAAUCUACCCCGAAGUGGGGGACAACUAGCAGAAAUGCUAGCUAAUACCCCAUAAUCCAUAUUGGGAAAGCGCGCAGCGCUUUGGGAUGAGCCUAUGGCCGAUUAGCUAGUUGGUGGGGUAAAAGCCUACCAAGGCGACGAUCGGUAGCUGGUCUGAGAGGAUGAUCAGCCACACUGGAACUGAGACACGGUCCAGACUCCUACGGGAGGCAGCAGUGGGGAAUCUUGCACAAUGGGCGCAAGCCUGAUGCAGCUAUUCCGCGUGCGCGAUGACGGUCUUCGGAUUGUAAAGCGCUUUCGAUGGGGACAACGAUGAUGGUACCCAUAAAAGAAGUCACGGCUAACUUCGUGCCAGCCGCCGCGGUAAG
This 468-nucleotide ribosomal RNA is filed under the name uncultured Alphaproteobacteria bacterium. RNAcentral's name for it is "bacterial SSU rRNA". It matches the Rfam family "Bacterial small subunit ribosomal RNA", at positions 9 to 524 of the family's 1533-position model. The record is from RNAcentral. Lineage: Bacteria; Pseudomonadati; Pseudomonadota; Alphaproteobacteria.